RNAcentral lists this ribosomal RNA (253 nucleotides) under uncultured bacterium. Its description in RNAcentral is "partial 16S ribosomal RNA". It matches the Rfam family "Bacterial small subunit ribosomal RNA", at positions 524 to 776 of the family's 1533-position model. The record is from RNAcentral.
UACGGGGGGGGCAAGCGUUGUUCGGAAUUACUGGGCGUAAAGGGCUCGUAGGCGGCCAACUAAGUCAGACGUGAAAUCCCCAGGCUCAACCUGGGAACUGCGUCUGAUACUGGAUGGCUUGAAUCCGGGAGGGGGAUGCAGAAUUCCAGGUGUAGCGGUGAAAUGCGUAGAUAUCUGGAGGAACACCGGUGGCGAAGGCGGCAUCCUGGACCGGCAUUGACGCUGAGGAGCGAAAGCCAGGGGAGCAAACGGG